RNAcentral lists this ribosomal RNA (250 nucleotides) under uncultured bacterium. RNAcentral describes it as "partial 16S ribosomal RNA". It matches the Rfam family "Bacterial small subunit ribosomal RNA", at positions 524 to 773 of the family's 1533-position model. The record is from RNAcentral.
UACGGAGGGUGCAAGCGUUAUCCGGAUUCACUGGGUUUAAAGGGUGCGUAGGCGGGUAUGUAAGUCCGUGGUGAAAUCUCCGAGCUUAACUCGGAAACUGCCGUGGGUACUGCGUAUCUUGAAUGUUGUGGAGGUGAGCGGAAUAUGUCAUGUAGCGGUGAAAUGCUUAGAUAUGACAUAGAACACCAAUUGCGAAGGCAGCUCACUACACAAAUAUUGACGCUGAGGCACGAAAGCGUGGGGAUCAAAC